RNAcentral lists this ribosomal RNA (676 nucleotides) under Pertusaria multipuncta. Its description in RNAcentral is "SSU rRNA". It matches the Rfam family "Bacterial small subunit ribosomal RNA", at positions 375 to 1091 of the family's 1533-position model. The record is from RNAcentral. Lineage: Eukaryota; Fungi; Ascomycota; Lecanoromycetes; Pertusariales; Pertusariaceae.
GCGUAAGCUAGUUGUAUUAGCUAAUAGUUAAUGCAGCAUCGACUCUGUCGACUAAAGUUCUGGAUAGAAUUUGAUAAUGACAUUUUCUAUCCAUGUGUCUUGACCAAAUUACGUGCCAGCAGUCGCGGCAAUACGUAGAAGACUAGUGUUAUUCAUCUUUAAUGGGUUUAAAGGGUACUUAGACGGUAUAUUCAGCCCAAAUAUUAUGAGAGGGUACUGAUUAAACUAGAGUUUUAUGCGAGGGGGUGUGUACUAGUGGAGUAGAGAUGAAAUUCUUUCAUACCAUUAUGAACAGGCAACGGCGAAAGCAACCCUUUAUGUAAAAACUGACGUUGAAGGACGAAGGCUCAGUACACCAACAGGAUUAGAUACCCUAGCAGUCUGAGCAGACAAUGAUGAGUGUCAUAGGCAAGAAAGAUACAAAAAGGAAAAAUUAACUAUUUUUUUUUUAAUUUUGUCUAUAAAUGAAAGUGUAAGCAUUCCACCUCAAGAGUAAUGUGGCAACGCAGAAACUGAAAUCAUUAGACCGUUUCUGAAACCAGUAGUGAAGUAUGUUGUUUAAUUUGUAGGUACGCAAAGAACCUUACCACAAUUUGUAUAUUUAUUUAUAUUAUCUAAAUACAAGAGUUGCACGGCUGUCUUCAGUUAAUGUCGUGAGAUUUUGGUUAGUUCCAUA